CUACUAUAAAAUGUGUGAUAGAAUAGCAUGUCUGGUGACGUUCAUGUCUGCAGCAUAUUCCUUGUUUGGGACUCUUAUUUUGCCAUGUCCUGUUUUCCUGUUUAUUGUGUUACUUCCUGGUUAACAUGUGAUUAAUUCUCUGCGUACUACAUACUGUAUACUUGUGGUGGAAAAUGUGUAGAAAAAUCUGUGUGAAGAAAACUCAAUAAUCUGUUUGAAGAAAAUCAACAAUCAGUAUAACCACCAUGACAGUCUGGCAAACUAGUAAACUGCUAAAAAUGAUUUACACUCUUGAAAUGAUUAAGAUUAUGUGCACUAAAUGUGUAUCAAGUAUAACAAACUUACUGAUGUGUGGAAUGUAUGCCUCAGCUUUGACACAUCACCCAUGGGGAAGGCCAAUGAAGAUUUAGUGCAUCCUAUAGCCACAAGUAAUUGCAUCAACAAACCCAUCACCUGCUGGGCCAGCCAGUCAGCAAGCAUAACUAGACAUAACUGAACACAUAAGAAAAAAAAAAAAACAACGUAUAUCACUGGGCUACAGACAGCGUAUGUUGUACCCUGCAACCCUAACAAAGCUUACGACCAAAAUCUCCAUAUGUACCAAACCAAACUAAUUGCUAAAUGGCAGCAUAACUAAUGCUAAACCAAACUAAAUGCCAAACCAAACUAAAUGCUAAAUGCCAGCAUAGCUAAACACAUCUAAAACACAUGCAAUACCCCCCUAAUCAACAUAACUGGGCUACAGACAGCGUAUGUUGUACCGUGAAGGAGUGCGGAAGAUCCCGGGUACAGCACACGGCGCGUAUUGCGACUGUCACCAGCCAACUAAAUACUAAAUAAAAUCCCCAUACACCCAGCCAGGCAGCCUCUCUCUCUCCCUCUCCCUCUCCUUUCUUAUCACAUUGCUAAUGCCUAUAAUAACCCACUCACUCUGUUCUUUUUCUUUCUCUCCUAAUCUAGACUAUCUUCGCCAUGGGAUGCUGCUGUAGUCUCUCCACCCGGUCUACCUGCAGAAACUCUCGACCAAUUGCACCCACCGCCACCGCACUGCCGUACACUUACUCUACCUCAUACCCUAUGCUAGCAUUUAUAUACAAUAUAUAUUAUUGCCACCAUCGACAUGUUUCUCUGUUCCUACUCCC
Clupea harengus (Atlantic herring) is the source of this 1142-nucleotide long non-coding RNA. The record is from Ensembl. Lineage: Eukaryota; Metazoa; Chordata; Actinopteri; Clupeiformes; Clupeidae.